RNAcentral lists this ribosomal RNA (497 nucleotides) under uncultured bacterium. RNAcentral's name for it is "partial 16S ribosomal RNA". It matches the Rfam family "Bacterial small subunit ribosomal RNA", at positions 28 to 507 of the family's 1533-position model. The record is from RNAcentral.
GAUGAACGCUGGCGGCGUGCCUAAUACAUGCAAGUCGAGCGAACAGACGAGGAGCUUGCUCCUCUGACGUUAGCGGCGGACGGGUGAGUAACACGUGGAUAACCUACCUAUAAGACUGGGAUAACUUCGGGAAACCGGAGCUAAUACCGGAUAAUAUAUUGAACCGCAUGGUUCAAUAGUGAAAGACGGUUUUGCUGUCACUUAUAGAUGGUUCCGCGCCGCAUUGGCUAGUUGGUAAGGUAAAGGCUUACCAAGGCAACGAUGCGUAGCCGACGUGAGAGGGUGAUCGGCCACACUGGAACGGAGACACGGUCCAGACUCCUACGGGAGGCAGCAGUAGGGAAUCUUCCGCAAUGGGCGAAAGCCUGACGGAGCAACGCCGCGUGAGUGAUGAAGGUCUUCGGAUCGUAAAACUCUGUUAUUAGGGAAGAACAAAUGUGUAAGUAACUAUGCACGUCUUGACGGUACCUAAUCAGAAAGCCACGGCUAACUACGUG